RNAcentral lists this ribosomal RNA (394 nucleotides) under Boophis narinsi. Its description in RNAcentral is "partial 16S ribosomal RNA". It matches the Rfam family "Bacterial large subunit ribosomal RNA", at positions 2037 to 2597 of the family's 2925-position model. Lineage: Eukaryota; Metazoa; Chordata; Amphibia; Anura; Mantellidae. The record is from RNAcentral.
UGAAACUGAUCUUCCCGUGAAGAAGCGGGAAUAUACAUAUAAGACGAGAAGACCCCAUGGAGCUUUAAACCCAACAGCACCUAUUCUUUUUAAAUCCACUUAUUCUUAUAGUAAGUGCUUGCUUGGUUUUAGGUUGGGGUGACCGCGGAGUAAAAAUGAACCUCCACGAAAAAAGGCAUAAAAGCCUUAUCAAAGAAUCACACUUCUAUGAAUUAGUAAACUAAUUUUUGAUGAUCCGAUAUUCGAUCAACGAACCAAGUUACCCUGGGGAUAACAGCGCAAUCCACCUCAAGAGCUCCUAUCGACAAGUGGGUUUACGACCUCGAUGUUGGAUCAGGGUACCCCAGUGGUGCAGCAGCUACUAAAGGUUCGUUUGUUCAACGAUUAAAACCCU